GGCGGACGGGUGAGUAACGCGUAUAGAACUUGCCUCACAGUUAGGGACAACAUUUGGAANCGAAUGCUAAUACCUGAUAUUAUGAUUAUACGGCAUCGUAUAAUUAUGAAAGUUAUAUGCGCUGUGAGAGAGCUUUGCGUCUCAUUAGCUAGUUGGAGAGGUAACGGCUCACCAAGGCGAUGAUGGGUAGCCGGCCUGAUAGGGUGAACGGCCACUAGGGGACUGAGACACGGCCCUUACUCCUACGGGAGGCAGCAGUGGGGAAUAUUGGACAAUGGACCAAAAGUCUGAUCCAGCAAUUCUGUGUGCACGAUGACGUUUUUCGGAAUGUAAAGUGCUUUCAGUUGGGAAGAAAAAAAUGACGGUACCGACAGAAGAAGUGACGGCUAAAUACGUGCCAUCAGCCGCGGUAAUACGUAUGUCACAAGCGUUAUCCGGAUUUAUUGGGCGU
RNAcentral lists this ribosomal RNA (451 nucleotides) under uncultured Fusobacterium sp. RNAcentral describes it as "bacterial SSU rRNA". It matches the Rfam family "Bacterial small subunit ribosomal RNA", at positions 97 to 561 of the family's 1533-position model. The record is from RNAcentral. Lineage: Bacteria; Fusobacteriati; Fusobacteriota; Fusobacteriia; Fusobacteriales; Fusobacteriaceae.